Molecule: ribosomal RNA, 500 nt
Filed under: uncultured bacterium
Lineage: Bacteria
Description: partial 16S ribosomal RNA
Rfam family: Bacterial small subunit ribosomal RNA
Source: RNAcentral
AUUGAACGCUGGCGGAAUGCUUUACACAUGCAAGUCAAACGGCAGCACGGACUUCGGUCUGGUGGCGAGUGGCGAACGGGUGAGUAAUGUAUCGGAACGUGCCCAGUCGUGGGGGAUAACGUAGUGAAAAUUACGCUAAUACCGCAUACGAUCUAUGGAUGAAAGCGGGGGAUCGCAAGACCUCGCGCGAUUGGAGCGGCCGAUAUCAGAUUAGGUAGUUGGCGGGGUAAAGGCCCACCAAGCCAACGAUCUGUAGCUGGUCUGAGAGGACGACCAGCCACACUGGAACUGAGACACGGUCCAGACUCCUACGGGAGGCAGCAGUGGGGAAUUUUGGUCAAUGGGCGAAAGCCUGAUCCAGCCAUUCCGCGUGCAGGAUGAAGGCCCUCGGGUUGUAAACUGCUUUUGUACAGAACGAAAAGGUUUCUACUAAUACUAGGAGCUCAUGACGGUACUGUAAGAAUAAGCACCGGCUAACUACGUGCCAGCCGCCGCGGUAA